CAGCACAUGGCUGUCCCAAGGGCUCAGCCACUCCCGCUGGCCCCUGGCCCCCAGGCUUCUCAGCCCAGCUCAGGUUGCAGCGUGAGGGGACCUCAACCCUCAAAGUACAGGUUGUGACCUGUUGCUCUCGGGCUUGGGAGCCCCCUUUUCUCAGCCUCCCAUCCAGGAUCAGCCCAUUUCAGAAACGGGAAGACUGACGCAGAGGUGGUGGGGAGUAGGCUCCCCUGUGCAUGUGCUGAGCUGGGCCAGGACCAGCUGGCUGGCACCUGCCCUGCUGGGUUGGAGCAGCUGGUGGAAAGCCAGGGAGGGCAGAGACUGACUGGGAGAGCCCUCUGGGAAGCGGGGAAGCAGCCUGCACCACCUCCGACCCGUGUCUGGGGUCUCCCCACAUCCCUGCCAACAGGAACUUUUCCUGGUGCCUUGCCUUUGCACCCCACAACGACCACCUGAGGGGGGACAGGAGAUCAAGCUCAGAGUGGCUAAGUAACUGCUACCAUCUGUAGUGCUGGAGCCCACAGGCAAAUCCCCCACGAGGUCCUGCCUCCUGUUACAGACCAGUUCACGAGAAGUCAAGCUCCUUCCCCAAGGCUCCUCCACCAGAACAGCAGGGACACCGACAACACUCCUCUCUCCACAGCAGCCAACGUACCUCAUGGCCACAUUGCUCCCAUCGAUGACCACUGGCCUCAGGUCUCUGCCCUCCUUGCCCUCUUCUGGGAGUGAGGGCUCCAGGCUGGGGGCCUUGGGGGUGCCCCCACCCCGGGGUACCAGAGGGAGCUGAGGGCAGGGGUCCGGGGAGGACUGGCACUCUCGCUCGGAGGCUGCACUGUGCUUCACCAGCUCGCCCAGCACUGUGUUGGUGUCUGCCUGGACCCCCAGCUUCUGCAGGACGCUGUGGAUCUCAGAGGAUGAGUAGCCCAGCUUCCGGAAGAAGUCCACCUUCAUCUGCAGCUCCAAAGCUGAUGCCUCCUCUGGGGUGGGCUCCUGGGCUGGCCGGGGGGGACCCCGACAGCUGUGGCUGUCCUCAAGCCCCCACAGACUCAUGGUGGGGCUGGCUUUCUGGACGGGCCUCUCUCCACAGGGGCCACUCAUAUCUCACACUCCUGGAAGGCACCUGUCACAGCUCCUAUGGGACAACCACAGGGUCAGUGCUGGGGAAUGUUGCUCUCAUCCCCUCUGCUGCCUGCCCCUCCCGACAGGAUGAGGCAACACGGAACCGGUGGCACUACACAAGCCUCCUUCGUG
Sciurus carolinensis (gray squirrel) is the source of this 1245-nucleotide long non-coding RNA. RefSeq lists it as uncharacterized. The record is from RefSeq and is a predicted model, not a curated record. Lineage: Eukaryota; Metazoa; Chordata; Mammalia; Rodentia; Sciuridae. The transcript has 3 exons.